Molecule: ribosomal RNA, 496 nt
Filed under: uncultured bacterium
Lineage: Bacteria
Description: partial 16S ribosomal RNA
Rfam family: Bacterial small subunit ribosomal RNA
Source: RNAcentral
AACGAACGCUGGCGGCGCGUCUUAAGCAUGCAAGUCGAACGGCAAGAGAGGAGCUUGCUUCUCUCCUAGAGUGACGGACUGGUGAGGAACACGUGGGUAAUCUACCCUUAAGAUGGGGAUAGCUGCUAGAAAUAGCAGGUAAUACCGAAUACACUCGGCAUAUCACAAGAGGUGUUGAGGAAAGGAAGCUACGGCUUCGCUUGAGGAUGAGCUUGCGUCCCAUUAGCUAGUUGGUGAGGUAAAGGCCCACCAAGGCGACGAUGGGUAUCCGGCCUGAGAGGGUGAACGGACACAUUGGGACUGAGAUACGGCCCAAACUCCUACGGGAGGCAGCAGCUAAGAAUAUUCCGCAAUGGACGGAAGUCUGACGGAGCGACGCCGCGUGGAUGAAGAAGGCUGAAAAGUUGUAAAAUCCUUUUGUUGAUGAAGAAUAAGGGUGAGAGGGAAUGCUCAUCUGAUGACGGUAAUCGACGAAUAAGCCCCGGCUAAUUACGUG